Molecule: long non-coding RNA, 1637 nt
Filed under: Nicotiana tabacum (common tobacco)
Lineage: Eukaryota; Viridiplantae; Streptophyta; Magnoliopsida; Solanales; Solanaceae
Description: long non-coding RNA (NTAB_LNC018151)
Source: RNAcentral
GCAUUUGACUCAUGAAACCUCAAUCCUAUCUGCAAGUAAUUUCUUGGUUUGCGAAUUUAUCAUCACAUGCCUAAACUCAUGCAACCUUUCUUUUCCAGUUUUUGUAUCAAGGAAUCAGAAUAGUGAAUGUACACCACCACUAUCAUUUGACUCAUGCAGUCAGAAGUAAAUAAGCAAAUCUAGUUUCUUGUACUGCCAAUUUAUUGUCACAUGUCUAAACUUAUGAACCUUUGCUUUUCAGUAAAACCUUAUGGAUUGGAACUGCAUGAACUUUACGAUGAGUGAAGACCCCUGCAGACCAAUUGGUAGCUAGUUUUGCAUACCGAUUGAUUGUUUGGCACUUAAAAGAAAGGAAGAACAAAAUAUACACUGCUCAUUGGGAGUUCGGGCAAAAUUGUGAAGUCAGUCGACUCUUAAGAAAUUUCCUCUUGCGGAUCUCUCUACUACAAAAAUUCAGCGAAGUACAGUUUUGUGAAGGUAAACAGAGUAGCAGCACCUUUAGAUCUUGAUCUUCGAGCAUGUGGAAAGGAUUCACUCUCUUCCUUCGAUGGGACUAUGUUCCCUUGUUGAAUAGCUUCAUCAUUGUGCAAUGAACAAGUGUCAAAACUAUGUUCCAAAUACUGAAAGAAUUAAAGAUAAAGGAGAGCAGCUCUUAAUAUGCCAUAAUCCUGUUCUCCUCUUGUUUUAUUGUCUUUUCUUCUUAAUGGCUACACUAGGGUUAAUCGGGGAUUAUAUGUUGAGUUGUUUUGAGUUUAAAAUGGUUAAAAAACUAAAAAGCGACUCAGAAUUUACGUUGUAGAUCCUAUAAUUUUAAAUAACAUUUAUAUAUUUUAUAGUAUAUUACAAUGCGAAGAAGUACUGUAGAAAUGCAUGAAGAUCCACUCAAUAAAACAAUAAUCUACUCUUUUUCCCUUUAACUGAUCAAGCUAUGGUAACAGACAAAUGAAAAUCAACGAUUUAUAUGUUAUCCAAAUUCAUCAUUUGAUCCUUGAGCUCAUUUAAAUGCUUAAACUCGAGAUAAAAUAAUCAAAGCACGGAUGUUCUUAGAAACAUCAACAUACGUAUCUGAAGGGGAAAAAGAAUAAAAAACAAAAUGCAUGUAAUUACUAACCUGUGUUGAUCAAAGGCUUGGUCAUGUUCGAAACUUAGGCCUUCUUCUCCAAAACCUGAAAUCCCCUCCAGAAUAGGCUUAAUAUUGUCACAUUGGUCAUAAACAGAAAGCUGCUUCAUCAAAGAAUUAGGCGCCGAUGUAGACGUGGAUUCUUGUUCGUGCAAGCUCCAAGGGAAGUUAAUAUCUGCUAAAUCUAAUUGGCCAUCUUGAAUUUCAUCAUAUUGCUGAUCAUCUUCACCUUUCUGACAACUAGUAUGAUUAUAAUAACUAUGAGGAUGGUAGUCUACAGUCUGUUGAUCAUACGAAGAUGCAUUAUUAUUCACCAAUGGAUCUGCCUGAUUCACGACACCAUCACAAUUAUUAUCAUUGAAUGAUUCCUCAGUUGCAUGAUGAUCUGCUAAUAUCUGUUGUUCUGAGGCAGCAGCAGCAACAGCCUGUGCUCUGCAGUAGGCGAGUUGAUGAAGAACGAUAUCCAACUCUGCUUUGCAAUAAUCAAUGUGGCGUUGCAGGUCUCGAAUGAUACGAU